GCCGGUAAUAGCGGAACUCCCUAACAAUUUUACCUGUGUAAGGUUAUUUUUUAAAGCAUAGUGGUGUUGACCAAAAUUUUCGAAUCACUAACGUAGGUGAUAAACCUAUUUAGAACUGGUUGAAUUUGAACGCAAUAAAAUCGUAACGGGAUGUUCUCGGUCACAUACACCGCCAGAGUUGUCCCCACGUCCAGUUGGCUCAAGGCCCCUACGGGCGUCCGUAUCAUAUGUCGACACAAACAGUUGACACUGUGUUGGUUGUGACAGAAGGAGGUGUGAUAUUAUAACGCUGUGGGAUUUGAAAAGAGACCGACCUACAGCAUGUGUUUUAAAGUGAAGUGCGAAAAAUGUGGCAAAUACACAUGGUCAGGAUGUGGGAAGCAUAUUGAGGUGAUACUGGAGGAUGUACCGGACGAGGAAAGAUGUAAAUGUCCACGUGAUAAAGAGAAAAAGUGUGUGAUCAUAUGAGCUGCUGCAUGGUGUUAGGUGAAAAGCUAUUUACCUGGUGCAGGUAACAUGCUAGAGGAGUGUAAUGGAGUACUCAGCUGGAAUUCAUCACCACUCUAGGAUGGAAUCUCACAACCAAUCAUGUGCCAUGUGAUAUUUCAGUUUUGUUCACAAUACAAUUGUUACUUUGUAAAUACAUUAUUUGUUAAAGUCAUAAAAAUAUGAUACAUGUUUGAGCCAAUAUUGUUCAUAAUAAUUAAGAGAAAAGAAGAAGAUAAAAGCUGUAGGCUUCCUGUUCCUAAGAGGAACAUUUUAGUUUGUUAUACCCCCGCAAUGAAGUUAGGGGGGUAUACUGGAAUCAGGUUGUCCGUCCGUCCGUCCGUCCGUCUGUCUGUAGACGCAUUUUGUCCGGACAAAUCCUCCUAAACCGAUGGGC
This is a long non-coding RNA of Pecten maximus, 883 nucleotides long. RefSeq lists it as uncharacterized. Lineage: Eukaryota; Metazoa; Mollusca; Bivalvia; Pectinida; Pectinidae. The record is from RefSeq and is a predicted model, not a curated record. The transcript has 3 exons.